This 548-nucleotide ribosomal RNA is filed under the name uncultured Glomeromycotina. RNAcentral's name for it is "SSU rRNA". It matches the Rfam family "Eukaryotic small subunit ribosomal RNA", at positions 548 to 1098 of the family's 1831-position model. The record is from RNAcentral. Lineage: Eukaryota; Fungi; Glomeromycota.
UUGGAGGGCAAGUCUGGUGCCAGCAGCCGCGGUAAUUCCAGCUCCAAUAGCGUAUAUUAAAGUUGUUGCAGUUAAAAAGCUCGUAGUUGAAUUUCGGGAUCAAUUUAUUGGUCGUGCCAACGGUACGCACUGGUACAAUUGGUUUCUCCCUUCUGACGAAGCAUGAUGUCAUUAAUUUGAUGUCGUGGGGAAUCAGGACUGUUACUUUGAAAAAAUUAGAGUGUUUAAAGCAGGCUUUGGCUUGAAUACAUUAGCAUGGAAUAAUGAAAUAGGACGUUUGAUCUUAUUUCGUUGGUUUCUAAGAUCGACGUAAUGAUUAAUAGGGAUAGUUGGGGGCAUUAGUAUUCAAUUGUCAGAGGUGAAAUUCUUGGAUUUAUUGAAGACUAACUACUGCGAAAGCAUUUGCCAAGGAUGUUUUCAUUAAUCAAGAACGAAAGUUAGGGGAUCGAAGACGAUCAGAUACCGUCGUAGUCUUAACCAUAAUCUAUGCCGACUAGGGAUCGGAUGAUGUUAAUUUUUCUUGACUCGUUCGGCGCCUUACGGGAAAC